Non-coding RNA from Tupaia belangeri chinensis (Chinese tree shrew), 528 nucleotides. Lineage: Eukaryota; Metazoa; Chordata; Mammalia; Scandentia; Tupaiidae. The record is from the annotation of a RefSeq genome assembly.
CUAGGAUUGUGAUCUGUUGAACCUCUCAUUCUGCCCGGCCUUGGCAUGGCCCCCAGGCUCCUCUGCUGGGCAGCCCUGUGUCUCCUGGGGGCAGAACUCAUGGCAGCUGGAAUCACCCAGUCCCCCAGACUAAAGAUUUCAGAAAAAGGACAGGUUGUGACUCUUUGGUGUGACCCUAUUUCUGGCCAUGUUACACUGUACUGGUACCGGCAGAGACCGGGACAAGGACCAGAGCUCCUGACAUACUUUCAGAAUGCGGCAACGGUAGAUGAAUCUCUGCUGCCUAAAGAACAAUUUUCUGCAGAGAGACCCAAGGGAGCAGACUCCACUCUGAAGAUCCUGCGUGCAGAGCUGGGGGACUCGGCUGUGUAUCUCUGUGCCAGCAGCUUAGCCACAGCAUCACAGAAACACUUCCCACCUGUGCACAAAAUUGUACAUUUCUCUCUCCCUACUCAGCCUACAGGCAACCCUAAAGAGAGGCUCCACCAUUUCCUUAUUGUCCAGGGGGAUUUAAAAAUUCCUUUUUGA